Molecule: non-coding RNA, 502 nt
Filed under: Pan troglodytes (chimpanzee)
Lineage: Eukaryota; Metazoa; Chordata; Mammalia; Primates; Hominidae
Source: RNAcentral
AAGAUGUCAGAAAAGAGUCAGAAAGCCCAGGUGAUAGAAUAAGUGCCAAGAACAUAUACACCAUGGAAUACUGUGCAGCCAUAAAAAGGAAUGAGUUCAUGUCCUUUGCAGGGACAUGGAUGAAGCUGGAAACCAUCAUUCUCAGCAAACUAACACAGCAACAGAAAACCAAACACCGCAUGUUCUCAUUCAUAAGUGGGAGUUGAACAAUGAGAACACAUGGACACAGAUUGGUAAAACUUCAACGGUUGGAUGACACCCUCUUUUGGUGAUGCCGUGGGGAACGCAACAUGAUCCAACCCCAAUGAAAGAGAAGUUGCAAUAACCGCUAAGACUGCAGAUGCAUUUGACUCAGCAAACCCUCUUCAAGAAAUGCAUAUGAAAAAAACUCAUGUUUCAGGUUAUUCAUUACAACAUUGUUUGUAAUAGCAAAAGGUGGAUUAGAAAUAGUCCAAAUGUCUGUCCGUAGGGGACUGUUUAAUAAACUAUUGUCAGUCCCUUA